RNAcentral lists this ribosomal RNA (253 nucleotides) under uncultured bacterium. Its description in RNAcentral is "partial 16S ribosomal RNA". It matches the Rfam family "Bacterial small subunit ribosomal RNA", at positions 524 to 776 of the family's 1533-position model. The record is from RNAcentral.
UACGUAGGGGGCAAGCGUUGUCCGGAUUUACUGGGCGUAAAGAGCGUGUAGGCGGCCAAGCAGGUCCGUUGUGAAAACUGGAGGCUCAACCUCCAGACGUCGAUGGAAACCGUCUGGCUAGAGUCCGGAAGAGGAGAGUGGAAUUCCUGGUGUAGCGGUGAAAUGCGCAGAUAUCAGGAAGAACACCCGUGGCGAAAGCGGCUCUCUGGGACGGUACUGACGCUGAGACGCGAAAGCGUGGGGAGCGAACAGG